This 1540-nucleotide ribosomal RNA is filed under the name Klebsiella pneumoniae. RNAcentral's name for it is "bacterial SSU rRNA". It matches the Rfam family "Bacterial small subunit ribosomal RNA". The record is from RNAcentral. Lineage: Bacteria; Pseudomonadati; Pseudomonadota; Gammaproteobacteria; Enterobacterales; Enterobacteriaceae.
AAAUUGAAGAGUUUGAUCAUGGCUCAGAUUGAACGCUGGCGGCAGGCCUAACACAUGCAAGUCGAGCGGUAGCACAGAGAGCUUGCUCUCGGGUGACGAGCGGCGGACGGGUGAGUAAUGUCUGGGAAACUGCCUGAUGGAGGGGGAUAACUACUGGAAACGGUAGCUAAUACCGCAUAAUGUCGCAAGACCAAAGUGGGGGACCUUCGGGCCUCAUGCCAUCAGAUGUGCCCAGAUGGGAUUAGCUAGUAGGUGGGGUAAUGGCUCACCUAGGCGACGAUCCCUAGCUGGUCUGAGAGGAUGACCAGCCACACUGGAACUGAGACACGGUCCAGACUCCUACGGGAGGCAGCAGUGGGGAAUAUUGCACAAUGGGCGCAAGCCUGAUGCAGCCAUGCCGCGUGUGUGAAGAAGGCCUUCGGGUUGUAAAGCACUUUCAGCGGGGAGGAAGGCGUUAAGGUUAAUAACCUUGGCGAUUGACGUUACCCGCAGAAGAAGCACCGGCUAACUCCGUGCCAGCAGCCGCGGUAAUACGGAGGGUGCAAGCGUUAAUCGGAAUUACUGGGCGUAAAGCGCACGCAGGCGGUCUGUCAAGUCGGAUGUGAAAUCCCCGGGCUCAACCUGGGAACUGCAUUCGAAACUGGCAGGCUAGAGUCUUGUAGAGGGGGGUAGAAUUCCAGGUGUAGCGGUGAAAUGCGUAGAGAUCUGGAGGAAUACCGGUGGCGAAGGCGGCCCCCUGGACAAAGACUGACGCUCAGGUGCGAAAGCGUGGGGAGCAAACAGGAUUAGAUACCCUGGUAGUCCACGCCGUAAACGAUGUCGAUUUGGAGGUUGUGCCCUUGAGGCGUGGCUUCCGGAGCUAACGCGUUAAAUCGACCGCCUGGGGAGUACGGCCGCAAGGUUAAAACUCAAAUGAAUUGACGGGGGCCCGCACAAGCGGUGGAGCAUGUGGUUUAAUUCGAUGCAACGCGAAGAACCUUACCUGGUCUUGACAUCCACAGAACUUUCCAGAGAUGGAUUGGUGCCUUCGGGAACUGUGAGACAGGUGCUGCAUGGCUGUCGUCAGCUCGUGUUGUGAAAUGUUGGGUUAAGUCCCGCAACGAGCGCAACCCUUAUCCUUUGUUGCCAGCGGUUAGGCCGGGAACUCAAAGGAGACUGCCAGUGAUAAACUGGAGGAAGGUGGGGAUGACGUCAAGUCAUCAUGGCCCUUACGACCAGGGCUACACACGUGCUACAAUGGCAUAUACAAAGAGAAGCGACCUCGCGAGAGCAAGCGGACCUCAUAAAGUAUGUCGUAGUCCGGAUUGGAGUCUGCAACUCGACUCCAUGAAGUCGGAAUCGCUAGUAAUCGUAGAUCAGAAUGCUACGGUGAAUACGUUCCCGGGCCUUGUACACACCGCCCGUCACACCAUGGGAGUGGGUUGCAAAAGAAGUAGGUAGCUUAACCUUCGGGAGGGCGCUUACCACUUUGUGAUUCAUGACUGGGGUGAAGUCGUAACAAGGUAACCGUAGGGGAACCUGCGGUUGGAUCACCUCCUUA